CCCUUCUCAGGGUCUCAUCUGGAGAGUUUCCAGUACUCUACCAGUCUCGAAUACAGGAAGGAGAGUCAAGCAAUGGCAUAUCCAUUCUAUUCCUAGCUUGGGCAGUGGCUAGCAAGUGGAAAGCAAUCUGCUACAAGU
This 138-nucleotide small nucleolar RNA is filed under the name Ornithorhynchus anatinus (platypus). The record is from RNAcentral. Lineage: Eukaryota; Metazoa; Chordata; Mammalia; Monotremata; Ornithorhynchidae.